AACGAACGCUGGCGGCAUGCCUAACACAUGCAAGUCGAACGAGACCUUCGGGUCUAGUGGCGCACGGGUGCGUAACGCGUGGGAAUCUGCCCUUGGGUUCGGAAUAACAGCGAGAAAUUGCUGCUAAUACCGGAUGAUGACGUAAGUCCAAAGAUUUAUCGCCCAAGGAUGAGCCCGCGUAGGAUUAGCUAGUUGGUGAGGUAAAGGCUCACCAAGGCGACGAUCCUUAGCUGGUCUGAGAGGAUGAUCAGCCACACUGGGACUGAGACACGGCCCAGACUCCUACGGGAGGCAGCAGUGGGGAAUAUUGGACAAUGGGCGAAAGCCUGAUCCAGCAAUGCCGCGUGAGUGAUGAAGGCCUUAGGGUGUAUAGCUCUUUUACCCGGGAUGAUAAUGACAGUACCGGGAGAAUAAGCUCCGGCUAACUCCGUGCCAGCAGCCGCGGUAAU
RNAcentral lists this ribosomal RNA (449 nucleotides) under uncultured bacterium. Its description in RNAcentral is "bacterial SSU rRNA". It matches the Rfam family "Bacterial small subunit ribosomal RNA", at positions 29 to 524 of the family's 1533-position model. The record is from RNAcentral.